RNAcentral lists this transfer RNA (62 nucleotides) under Ixodes persulcatus (taiga tick). RNAcentral's name for it is "tRNA-Ala". The record is from RNAcentral. Lineage: Eukaryota; Metazoa; Arthropoda; Arachnida; Ixodida; Ixodidae.
AGAAAAGUAUUUAAAAAAAAUAAAAUCUAACUUGCAAUUAGAAAUUGAUUAUUCCUUUUCUA